This 253-nucleotide ribosomal RNA is filed under the name uncultured bacterium. RNAcentral describes it as "partial 16S ribosomal RNA". It matches the Rfam family "Bacterial small subunit ribosomal RNA", at positions 524 to 776 of the family's 1533-position model. The record is from RNAcentral.
UACGGAGGGUGCAAGCAUUAAUCGGAAUUAUUGGGCGUAAAGGGCGCGUAGGCGGAUGGGCAAGUCAGAUGUGAAAUUCCGGAGCUCAACUUCGGAGCUGCAUUUGAAACUACCUGUCUUGAGGAUUGGCGGAGAAAAUGGAAUUCCACGUGUAGCGGUGAAAUGCGUAGAUAUGUGGAAGAACACCGGUGGCGAAGGCGGUUUUCUAGCUUAUUCCUGACGCUGAGGCGCGAAAGCAAGGGGAUCAAACAGG